GGACAGCUUGCUCGACUCUAGACU
This 24-nucleotide non-coding RNA is filed under the name Cricetulus griseus (Chinese hamster). Lineage: Eukaryota; Metazoa; Chordata; Mammalia; Rodentia; Cricetidae. The record is from RNAcentral.